CCUACGGGAGGCAGCAGUGGGGAAUUUUGGACAAUGGGCGCAAGCCUGAUCCAGCCAUGCCGCGUGCGGGAAGAAGGCCUUCGGGUUGUAAACCGCUUUUUAGAGACCUGCGGUACCUGAAGAAUAAGCACCGGCUAACUACGUGCCAGCAGCCGCGGUAAUACGUAGGGUGCGAGCGUUAAUCGGAAUUACUGGGCGUAAAGCGUGCGCAGGCGGUUAUGCAAGACAGAUGUGAAAUCCCCGGGCUUAACCUGGGAACUGCAUUUGUGACUGCAUGGCUAGAGUGCGGCAGAGGGGGAUGGAAUUCCGCGUGUAGCAGUGAAAUGCGUAGAUAUGCGGAGGAACACCGAUGGCGAAGGCAAUCCCCUGGGCCUGACUGACGCUCAUGCACGAAAGCGUGGGGAGCAAACAGGAUUAGAUACCCUUGUAGUC
This 432-nucleotide ribosomal RNA is filed under the name uncultured bacterium. RNAcentral describes it as "partial 16S ribosomal RNA". It matches the Rfam family "Bacterial small subunit ribosomal RNA", at positions 338 to 795 of the family's 1533-position model. The record is from RNAcentral.